This 91-nucleotide transfer RNA is filed under the name Chloroflexota bacterium. Its description in RNAcentral is "tRNA-Ser". It matches the Rfam family "tRNA". From Rfam's summary of the family: Transfer RNA (tRNA) molecules are approximately 80 nucleotides in length. Their secondary structure includes four short double-helical elements and three loops (D, anti-codon, and T loops). Further hydrogen bonds mediate the characteristic L-shaped molecular structure. tRNAs have two regions of fundamental functional importance: the anti-codon, which is responsible for specific mRNA codon recognition, and the 3' end, to which the tRNAs corresponding amino acid is attached (by aminoacyl-tRNA synthetases). tRNAs cope with the degeneracy of the genetic code in two manners: having more than one tRNA (with a specific anti-codon) for a particular amino acid; and 'wobble' base-pairing, i.e. permitting non-standard base-pairing at the 3rd anti-codon position. The record is from RNAcentral. Lineage: Bacteria; Bacillati; Chloroflexota.
GGAGAGUUCGCAUAGAGGCCUAGUGCGUCGGUUUGCUAAACCGAUGUCGGAUUAUAUCCGACCAUGGGUUCGAAUCCCAUACUCUCCGCCA